UUGUGAUGUGCACAGCUCUUCUCCUCGUCGUCCGUCCUCUCGUCCUCCUCCUGCCGAUCAGCGCAUUCACACACACACACACACACACACACACACACGCACACAGACCCUUUUGCAUUCCCACAGCGCCCUCAAGGGGGGAGGGGGACGCACCUGAAGUAAGCGGUGCCGAGGACGUGCGUCUCUCGCUUGCUCGAUGCCUGUCGGUCUUAUCGUCCUUCGCGUUUUUUUUUGAUUUUGUAGCGUUCUUUCGCGUUCUUUUCUGCGUUUGCGCGCGUGUGUGUGUGUGCCUGAUUGCGUCCCUCUCUCGAGCAAGCCCACUGGUAAGUCACCAUGCCGCCACCGCUGCGCUCCAAGGCGGAGUCCGUCCGGCGCGAGGAGGUGUGCCAGAUGUUGGAGCCGAAGCGGUCCAUGUCCGUUCGCGACACACUCUACGGUCAGCUCGAGUUCCCGCCGGUGAUUCGCAUCCUGACGGACUCGCCGGUGGUGCAGCGGCUGCGCGACCUGAAGCAGCUGGGAAACUCCUUCUAUGUCUACCCAGGUGCCACGCACUCCCGCUUCGAGCACUCUCUAGGUGUCUGCUACCUUGGCAUGGAGCUGUACCGCAGCAUCGUGGAUGGGCAUCGAGAGGAACACAGGGACUUUGGCGUCCCCGAGAUCGCGAACCUGACGCGUGAGGCCGCGCAGAAGGACAUGCACUGUAUCGGGAUUGCCGGCUUGUGCCACGACCUCGGGCAUGGGCCACUGUCGCACUUGUUCGAGUCCUUUGUGCGCUCCUCUGCGCGGCCGGAGGAAGUGCAGCUGCGCAGGUGGUCGCAUGAACAGGCGAGCAUCAUGCUUCUCCGCAAGAUGUGGUUGGAGAAUGAGACGGAGCUAGCCGAGCUCGGCUUUACGGAGAGUGAUCUGCGCUACGUGGAGCUGCUGAUCAACGGCCUCGCACCCGGCAAGGCGUGGCCGGACAACGUUGGACGACCAAAGUGGGCGCGCUUCACGACGGAGAUUAUCGCGAACAAGCGCAGUGGACUGGACGUGGACAAGAUCGACUACAUCCAGCGGGACUCUGUCGCGUGCCUUGGUACGCCCACCUUCGUCUCCAUGAGCCGCCUUUUCCAAGGUGCACGGGUGGUGGUGGGUGACAAUGACGAGACAUCCAUCGGCUACCCCGACAAGCUGGACGGCGUCAUCGAGGAGAUCUUCCUCGCCCGCUCCCACCUCCACCGUAUCGUCUACCAGCACCGUGUGACCAAGGUGAUUGACCUCAUGACGCUGGACGCCCUGCGCGCUGCUGGGGACGUGUUCGAGGUCAGCAAUGGCAAAGACGGCGUCAUGCCGCUGCGGUCGUGCGUGCUGCACCCAGACUUCUACGUGCACGCCAGCGACUGGAUCGUGCUGGCGAUUUUGCACGGCAGCAACAGAACGAUGGCGGAGCCAUUGGGUAGCGGCGCCUCGGCAGAGCAUCGCCGCGAAAAGCUCGCCGAGGCGCGCCGCAUCCUGCAGCGCAUCCAAAGCCGGCACCUGUACACGACAAUCGGCUCUUACCGCCACAGCGAACAGACCUUGAUCAAUGCAGGCCGCCUAAAUUCCGUGGAGGGGUCCAGCCAGGAGGUGAAGCGGGAGGUCAUGAUUCACGAGUUGCUGUCUGAUAUUGAAGUGACGAGCCUGGACCUGUCGGUGAAGCUGCGUGAGUGGUCCCGGCAGCACAACGGCAUGGCAUCAAUUGAGAUUCUGCAGGCGGAGAUUACGCAAACGGCCGGGGACAUGGACAAGAAACACAACCCAGUGAGUGCUACCUACUUCUUCAACCCGCGCCAGUCUACGCACUGCCGCGUCGAGCCGCACUUCUCCUGCAACGUGACAACGACGCUGUUUGUGAAGAUGGGUCCCGUGUCAUCGCUGGUGGUCGUGUGCCGCAUGCCGUUGACUCCGCAGGAGAAGGAGUCGCUGCGCGUCAGCUUCACCUCUGUUGCCGAUCGGCUUGGCAAGACGGACGCGAGCUCUUUUUCCUGCACCCCCAUGAGCCAACGGGGCCGCGCCGCCGAGUCAUCGCAGCAGGCAGCCUCUGCGGCGCGAGACGAGUCCGCCGCGACCCCGAAUCCCUCGAUGACGGCGGCGGAGAGGCUCACGUCCUCCUUGAGCGGUGGGUGUCCCGCGGCAAAGCGGCUGAAAUUGGACCUGGACACCAAACUCUCCCGGCGGGAAGACUGUGACGUUGAUCAGAGCAGCGAAGGCGUUCUCCAGAACGACGCGACAUCGAGCUCCCUUGAGCUGGUGACGCCCGCGGGGUAUGGGCAGGUGGGGGAGAAGGGCCAGGAUGACGACGAUGGCGAGGAGACGGACAUCCUCAGCUUUUCGUAGAAGGCUACAAGUGGGGAGGUAUGAUGCCCAAGGGGAGAGCGCGAGCGAGAUCGGAGGGGCCGGGGCAAGGAAGUCGGCCGGGCCAGGUAUUAGUUCCUGUGAGAGGAGGAGAGCAAGAGAAGAGGGGAAGGAGGCAGGCUGCGUACUCUUCAGUGUCUCAGCGUGGCCCAUCGAAGGGCUGUUGAUGGCCUGGCUCUCCCUUGGUAUCUUGCCCCUCUCCCUCUCUCUCCCCCUCUUUCGCUUUCUUCGCAUCACCGCUGCCAGCCAUCUGCCAGUUCUCCGCGACCCUCUCUCCUCGGGUACUGCGGCUAUGUGGUUGACGUGGAUCAAUCAGGUGCUUUCCGGUGUGGCUCGCCCCCCCAUUGCUUCGCACGCCAUGCCGAACCGUACGGAGCCGCCUCUCUCCCCGUUUUUCUCUCUGCAGCACCAUUGACGGUAGAGCCCUUCCUUUUUCGAAUCUCGUCUCACCGGUGCCCACGCGCGCGCGCACCUCCAUCGCGGCGCGGCUUUUUCUUUUCCCUUUAUGCUUGCGUUUUUCGCAUUUGGCAUGUGAGCCCGAUGCGCCCCAUCAGCAAGCGUAAGCGCCGCUGCCCGUCUCCUCUACGCUUUCCACUGCCACCUUCACACCCACCCUUCAGACGUACUCCGCGCAAGCCAUGCGGAUAGGAUGCCGUGGAAGCCGACCAACAUCGAAAACCAACGGAGCCCCUCUCGUGCGACGGGCACUUUCAACUUGCGCUUGUAUGCUGCUGCUGAUGCGGCAGCAGAAUUCAGUGUAUCACGCGCACGUACGCCUUUUCCUCUUCAUUACGUUUUGCCAAGGUGCGGGGCUCCUUCUGACCCGCUAAGCCUCGCGUAGGUCUAGUCGACCAAGCGCGGGCGCUCUCACGUGGCCGUUCCACCUCCUUCCCUGCGCACACUAUCGGGUUUCUUUCACUUUAUAUAUAUUUCCCUUCUUCCCUCUGCUGCUGCUGAAG
RNAcentral lists this unclassified non-coding RNA (3332 nucleotides) under Leishmania donovani. RNAcentral describes it as "gene:LdHU3.32.3350(CDS-product:HD_domain_containi ng_protein_putative)". The record is from RNAcentral. Lineage: Eukaryota; Euglenozoa; Kinetoplastea; Trypanosomatida; Trypanosomatidae.